GAUGAACGCUGGCGGCGUGCCUAAUACAUGCAAGUAGAACGCUGAAGGAAGGAGCUUGCUCUUUCCGGAUGAGUUGCGAACGGGUGAGUAACGCGUAGGUAACCUGCCUGGUAGCGGGGGAUAACUAUUGGAAACGAUAGCUAAUACCGCAUAACAGUAGAUAUUGCAUGAUCAUCUGCUUGAAAGGGGCAAUUGCUCCACUACCAGAUGGACCUGCGUUGUAUUAGCUAGUUGGUGAGGUAACGGCUCACCAAGGCGACGAUACAUAGCCGACCUGAGAGGGUGAUCGGCCACACUGGGACUGAGACACGGCCCAGACUCCUACGGGAGGCAGCAGUAGGGAAUCUUCGGCAAUGGACGGAAGUCUGACCGAGCAACGCCGCGUGAGUGAAGAAGGUUUUCGGAUCGUAAAGCUCUGUUGUAAGAGAAGAACGAGUGUGAGAGUGGAAAGUUCACACUGUGACG
RNAcentral lists this ribosomal RNA (465 nucleotides) under Streptococcus australis. RNAcentral's name for it is "bacterial SSU rRNA". It matches the Rfam family "Bacterial small subunit ribosomal RNA", at positions 28 to 474 of the family's 1533-position model. The record is from RNAcentral. Lineage: Bacteria; Bacillati; Bacillota; Bacilli; Lactobacillales; Streptococcaceae.